Tyto alba (common barn owl) is the source of this 320-nucleotide long non-coding RNA. RefSeq lists it as uncharacterized. The transcript has 2 exons. The record is from RefSeq and is a predicted model, not a curated record. Lineage: Eukaryota; Metazoa; Chordata; Aves; Strigiformes; Tytonidae.
UGGCCGAGCGCCAGUGCGGCUCUUCCAGCACCUCGAAGAUCGCCGCCCCGAUGGACAGGUAGAAGAUGAUGGCCGAGGUUCAGCGGAGUUUCCCGUUUUCGACACCGCCGGGCUGUGAAAGGAGAGCUGCGGCUUCCCUGCAUCCAGCGAGGUGCGGGGGAGGCGAGCAGGAGCUCUGAGGAGAAAGGCGAGGGCUGCCGGCAGGUUUCACCCCUUCCCCGAGAUGUUGACCACACGUGUGCGUUACGGAUCCUUCACAGCAGGAACUGUAUCACCCUUCAUGCAUUUUGUACAUUCAAUAAACCUUCCUAUGGAUUGCC